UAUUGGACAAUGGGCGAAAGCCUGAUCCAGCAAUACCGCGUGUGUGAAGAAGGCCUUAGGGUUGUAAAGCACUUUCAAUUGGGAGGAAAACCUGCCGGUCAAUACCCGGUAGCUUGACAUUACCUUUAGAAGAAGCACCGGCUAACUCCGUGCCAGCAGCCGCGGUAAUACGGAGGGUGCAAGCGUUAAUCGGAAUUACUGGGCGUAAAGCGUGCGUAGGCGGUUCGUUAAGUCAGAUGUGAAAGCCCUGGGCUCAACCUGGGAACUGCAUUUGAAACUGGCGGACUAGAGUUUAGUAGAGGGGAGUGGAAUUUCAGGUGUAGCGGUGAAAUGCGUAGAUAUCUGAAGGAACACCAGUGGCGAAGGCGACUCCCUGGACUAGAACUGACGCUGAGUACGAAA
This 402-nucleotide ribosomal RNA is filed under the name uncultured bacterium. RNAcentral's name for it is "bacterial SSU rRNA". It matches the Rfam family "Bacterial small subunit ribosomal RNA", at positions 362 to 758 of the family's 1533-position model. The record is from RNAcentral.